RNAcentral lists this ribosomal RNA (269 nucleotides) under uncultured prokaryote. RNAcentral describes it as "partial 16S ribosomal RNA". It matches the Rfam family "Bacterial small subunit ribosomal RNA", at positions 524 to 792 of the family's 1533-position model. The record is from RNAcentral.
UACGGAGGAUGCAAGCGUUAUCCGGAUUUAUUGGGUUUAAAGGGUGCGUAGGCGGGAUAGUAAGUCAGUGGUGAAAUCUUUCGGCUUAACCGGGAAACUGCCAUUGAUACUGCUUUUCUUGAGUACAGUUGAGGUAGGCGGAAUGUGUAAUGUAGCGGUGAAAUGCUUAGAUAUUACACAGAACACCUAUUGCGUAGGCAGCUUACUAGACUGUUACUGACGCUGAGGCACGAAAGCGUGGGGAGCGAACAGGAUUAGAUACCCCCGUA